This 430-nucleotide ribosomal RNA is filed under the name uncultured Alphaproteobacteria bacterium. Its description in RNAcentral is "bacterial SSU rRNA". It matches the Rfam family "Bacterial small subunit ribosomal RNA", at positions 29 to 505 of the family's 1533-position model. Lineage: Bacteria; Pseudomonadati; Pseudomonadota; Alphaproteobacteria. The record is from RNAcentral.
AACGAACGCUGGCGGCAGGCCUAACACAUGCAAGUCGAACGAACCUUUUAGGUGAGUGGCGCACGGGUGCGUAACGCGUGGGAAUGUACAUCUCGGUAAGGAAUAACUGCUGGAAACGGUAGCUAAUACCUUAUAAUGACUCCGGUCCAAAGAUUUAUCGCCGAGGAAUCAGCCCGCGUCAGAUUAGCUUGUUGGUGAGGUAAAAGCUCACCAAGGCGACGAUCUGUAGGGGGUCUGAGAGGAUGAUCCCCCACACUGGUACUGAGACACGGACCAGACUCCUACGGGAGGCAGCAGUGAGGAAUAUUGGACAAUGGGGGCAACCCUGAUCCAGCCAUGCCGCGUGAGUGAAGAAGGCCUUAGGGUUGUAAAGCUCUUUCAAUAGUGAAGAUAAUGACGGUAGCUAUAGAAGAAGCUCCGGCUAAAUUCG